This 693-nucleotide long non-coding RNA is filed under the name Rattus norvegicus (Norway rat). Its description in RNAcentral is "long non-coding RNA NONRATT013237". Lineage: Eukaryota; Metazoa; Chordata; Mammalia; Rodentia; Muridae. The record is from RNAcentral.
GUCAAAGAACUUCUCAUUUGAUGGCCAUCGGAAUUCAUUUUCUGCUCUCCAUUACCUUUCGAUUUGGAGCAGAAAGUAGGGAAUUACAGAAAAGCAGAAAUUGAUGUGUGUGAAGGAACCCCGAUGUGGUAGCACACGACUGCAAUGCCAGCAUUCAAGACCGAGACAGUAGGACGCGUGUGAGCCUGAGGAUUGCCUACUACAUGGUUCUUGUCACCUCUGCCGGUACCAGCCUGUUCUGCUUGAUUCCUGUGUUGCUAUUUCAUUAUGAUAUGAAGCACAUUGCCCUCCAGUCAGAGAAGGGAUCCAACUAUGGGUACGAGCUAUGAAACUAGAUGGAGGGGCACACUGGGAAGAAGGCUGGAGUUUCAAGACUCAUCCCGUGGCAACCACAGAGAAACUGAGUACAGCACUGAUGAGAUCUUGGGACUCAGGUGUUACCUCUCAAUAGUAUCGACCCUGAGAAGGAGUCACACCUCCCGGAGAAAUGGCUGAUCCAGGGAAAGAAUUCCUGCAAAAUUAGCCCAGAACAUUCUCAUCAGAAAGCAAAGAAGGUACCAAAGACGAAUAAGGAUGCAUCAAAGGACUUAGGAGCCGAUCGAUCUCAGAUUGAAAUUAAUUGAAUAGGCUCCAUGAACGACCUUUUUAUUCACCAGUGGAAGGUUCUGAAGAGCAGAUUUGAUAUUUAAAUUG